Long non-coding RNA from Lynx canadensis (Canada lynx), 91 nucleotides. RefSeq lists it as uncharacterized. Lineage: Eukaryota; Metazoa; Chordata; Mammalia; Carnivora; Felidae. The transcript is spliced from 4 exons. The record is from RefSeq and is a predicted model, not a curated record.
UGAAAAGAUGUUUCCCCAAACAAGGUAUUCAAAUGGCCAAGAAGCUUAUGAAAAGAUGCUGAACAUCACUACUCAUUAGGGAAAUGCAAAU